GACGAACGCUGGCGGCGUGCCUAAUACAUGCAAGUUGAGCGCUGAAGGUUGGUACUUGUACCGACUGGAUGAGCAGCGAACGGGUGAGUAACGCGUGGGGAAUCUGCCUUUGAGCGGGGGACAACAUUUGGAAACGAAUGCUAAUACCGCAUAAAAACUUUAAACACAAGUUUUAAGUUUGAAAGAUGCAAUUGCAUCACUCAAAGAUGAUCCCGCGUUGUAUUAGCUAGUUGGUGAGGUAAAGGCUCACCAAGGCGAUGAUACAUAGCCGACCUGAGAGGGUGAUCGGCCACAUUGGGACUGAGACACGGCCCAAACUCCUACGGGAGGCAGCAGUAGGGAAGCUUCGGCAAUGGACGAAAGUCUGACCGAGCAACGCCGCGUGAGUGAAGAAGGUUUUCGGAUCGUAAAACUCGGUUGGUAGAGAAGAACGUUGGUGAGAGUGGAAAGCUCAUCAAGUGACGGUAACUACCCAGAAAGGGACGGCUAACUACGUG
Molecule: ribosomal RNA, 497 nt
Filed under: uncultured bacterium
Lineage: Bacteria
Description: partial 16S ribosomal RNA
Rfam family: Bacterial small subunit ribosomal RNA
Source: RNAcentral